AAGGAACUGAGAAUAAAAGUAGCUGCUAACUAACUUUUAAAGUGGUUAAAUUCCACUUUUUCCUUA
This 66-nucleotide transfer RNA is filed under the name Tettigades lacertosa. RNAcentral's name for it is "tRNA-Ser". The record is from RNAcentral. Lineage: Eukaryota; Metazoa; Arthropoda; Insecta; Hemiptera; Cicadidae.